This 328-nucleotide ribosomal RNA is filed under the name uncultured bacterium. RNAcentral's name for it is "bacterial SSU rRNA". It matches the Rfam family "Bacterial small subunit ribosomal RNA", at positions 8 to 334 of the family's 1533-position model. The record is from RNAcentral.
AGGGUUUGAUCAUGGCUCAGAUUGAACGCUGGCGGCAGGCCUAACACAUGCAAGUCGAGCGGUAGCACAGAGAGCUUGCUCUCGGGUGACGAGCGGCGGACGGGUGAGUAAUGUCUGGGAAACUGCCUGAUGGAGGGGGAUAACUACUGGAAACGGUAGCUAAUACCGCAUAACGUCGCAAGCCCAAAGUGGGGGACCUUCGGGCCUCAUGCCAUCAGAUGUGCCCAGAUGGGAUUAGCUAGUAGGUGGGGUAACGGCUCACCUAGGCGACGAUCCCUAGCUGGUCUGAGAGGAUGACCAGCCACACUGGAACUGAGACACGGUCCAG